This 317-nucleotide ribosomal RNA is filed under the name uncultured soil bacterium. Its description in RNAcentral is "bacterial SSU rRNA". It matches the Rfam family "Bacterial small subunit ribosomal RNA", at positions 26 to 346 of the family's 1533-position model. The record is from RNAcentral.
AGAUUGAACGCUAGCGGGAUGCUUUACACAUGCAAGUCGAACGGCAGCGCGGACUUCGGUCUGGCGGCGAGUGGCGAACGGGUGAGUAAUAUAUCGGAACGUGCCCAGUAGCGGGGGAUAACUACGCGAAAGCGUGGCUAAUACCGCAUACGCCCUACGGGGGAAAGGGGGGAUCGCAAGACCUCUCACUAUUGGAGCGGCCGAUAUCAGAUUAGCUAGUUGGUGAGGUAAAGGCUCACCAAGGCGACGAUCUGUAGCUGGUUUGAGAGGACGACCAGCCACACUGGGACUGAGACACGGCCCAGCCUCCUACGGGA